Molecule: ribosomal RNA, 443 nt
Filed under: uncultured bacterium
Lineage: Bacteria
Description: partial 16S ribosomal RNA
Rfam family: Bacterial small subunit ribosomal RNA
Source: RNAcentral
CCUACGGGAGGCAGCAGUGGGGAAUAUUGGUCAAUGGGCGCAAGCCUGACCCAGCAACGCCGCGUGAAGGAAGAAGGCUUUCGGGUUGUAAACUUCUUUUCUCAGGGACGAAGCAAGUGACGGUACCUGAGGAAUAAGCCACGGCUAACUACGUGCCAGCAGCCGCGGUAAUACGUAGGUGGCAAGCGUUAUCCGGAUUUACUGGGUGGAAAGGGCGGGUAGGCGGGACUGCAAGUCAGAUGUGGAAACCAUGGGCUCAACCUAUGGCCUGCAUUUGAAACUGUAGGUCUUGAGUACUGGAGAGGCAGACGGAAUUCCUAGUGUAGCGGUGAAACGCGUAGAUAUUAGGAGGAACACCAGUGGCGAAGGCGGGCUGCUGGACAGCAACUGACGCUGAGGCGCGAAAGCGUGGGUAGCAAACAGGAUUAGAUACCCCUGUAGUC